UUAAUUUUUGGGGUAAAUAUAUAUUUUUACCUUAUUUUGAGUUUUAAGGGUAAAAUAGUCAAUUUGUCACAAUUCAGUUAACUUUCUAACGGCAGCUAACGGUUUGGUGGAUGACAAACACAUUUUGUCAACUUAGAGUAUACGAUUGAUACAUGUUAAAAGUGUUGUAGUACGUUUGAUACAAAUGUCAUUUAAGGGUAUACAAGUGAUAUUUUCCCUUAAAGUUAUUUAUUUAUUAAAACAAAAGAAGGAACAAAAUAUAUGAAAUCUUAACAUUAUAGAAUGGGGCUCUAAUUUCUAUAUAGUUGGGAAUCAAAUUUCAAUUAUGAGGACAAACUAUUUGUCUUAUUCAAUUGUGAAAAUUUUAAAUUACCUUAAUUAAAUUCUACAUUUUAGUCCACAUUUUCAAUAGAGAGUAGAAUUUUAUUAA
Molecule: long non-coding RNA, 430 nt
Filed under: Citrus x clementina
Lineage: Eukaryota; Viridiplantae; Streptophyta; Magnoliopsida; Sapindales; Rutaceae
Description: Citrus clementina (C. clementina) long non-coding RNA (CCLE_LNC000409)
Source: RNAcentral